Molecule: unclassified non-coding RNA, 193 nt
Organism: Ochotona princeps (American pika)
Lineage: Eukaryota; Metazoa; Chordata; Mammalia; Lagomorpha; Ochotonidae
Rfam family: RNase MRP
About the family: RNase MRP is an enzymatically active ribonucleoprotein with two distinct roles in eukaryotes. In mitochondria it plays a direct role in the initiation of mitochondrial DNA replication. In the nucleus it is involved in precursor rRNA processing, where it cleaves the internal transcribed spacer 1 between 18S and 5.8S rRNAs.
Source: Ensembl
CCUAGGCUACAUACGGGGACUUGUUCCUCAUCUUCUCGCCUAGGGGAAAGUCCCCGGACCUCCGGCAGAGAGUGCCGCGUGCGCAUGCACGUAGACUCACCCCGCCCCCCACGGCUAGUCCGCCAAGAAGCGCCCUUCCGCGGCAGGGCGCCGAGCGGCGUGAUGCGGGGCGUCGUCCGUCACGGUCACAGUU